AUCUGUUUUGUUUUGUUUUAUCUUCCCGCCUCACUGGUCCCUCCUCGGCCACUGCCGCAGACCAAAGAUGAAAGAACCAGAAGAAAUCGAUUGCUAUCGAGUUCUGAAAGUGCCUAAAGGCGCAACGCUCCUUGAUAUAAAGAAGUCGUAUCGUAAGCGCAUUUUCCGGGCGCAGAAACGGCUCCAUUUGUCAAGGUCAUUUUUUUCAUUUUAUUUAUUAUUUUAUUUAUUUAUUUAUUUUUGAGGUUGGAGAAGGAGAACUUGCUUGGGUGGUCGACCAGAUAUGGUGAAGCAAAACCUAACACUCGAGCCCAUUUUCGCAGGUCUAAAAUGCAUGGGAGACCUUGAGCAAUGCGUCGAAACGAUAUUGUUUCGACUGCAAAUACGACAGGAUUAAAAGGGAAUGGGACAAAUACGAGGAGGUUUGCGUGCGUUCGAAGACGACGACUGGAAAACAGAAGCCCUAUACAGAAAAAGAUGUCCGCGAAAUAUUAGAAAGGCUGCGGCGUAGGAAUGAAGAAGCCGACGCUCUUCGCAAACGAGAAGAUGAGAGACGAGCCCGAGAGAAGCGGCAGCAGGAGGAAGAACGGAGAAAAAUGGAAGAACGGAGGAAAAAAGAAGAACAGGAACGAAAGAGAGACGAAAACAAAUACCCCCGCAACCAGGACACCUUCGACUUCAGGGAUAUGAGAGACGUUCUUGAUGAUAUAGAGGGACUGAGAAGGGGCCGCGCAGAGAAGCCCCGCGCAACACGACUACCGACCCCGUCUCCGAGGCGGAAUGAUCGCCGUACGUCUAUGGCGCUGGAUCGUGCCAGUAUUGCGAUCGGUACUGCCCGCAUUACUUGCUGGGCUGCCCAAGUUGCGAUGCUCGAGCAUGCGUGCCGUGCAAGAUUCGGGAGACUAGCUAUUGAAGCCUUCAGUUUCUUAAAAGCAGG
This 937-nucleotide small RNA is filed under the name Histoplasma ohiense. RNAcentral's name for it is "hypothetical lncRNA". Lineage: Eukaryota; Fungi; Ascomycota; Eurotiomycetes; Onygenales; Ajellomycetaceae. The record is from RNAcentral.